UGUAUGUAUAUAGUGUAUCUGUAUGUAUAGCUUACAGAAGCUGCUUGGAUGCUCCUUUCCAGCCUUUUUACGUUGCAUCCACUUUGAAAUUUGAAUAUACCGUCUAUCGAUGGAUUCUUUUGCAUUUGCUUUUCCCUUUUGCUUAGCUUUUAUUGUUUAUUUAACCAUUAGCUUUAGAAAUGUUUUUUUUUUUUUUCUUUAUUUGCUAUUCUGGUCUGACGGUGAUGUUCUUUCUUUCUGUUUUGACCCAAUUUUACAUCAGCAUCAACCAAAUCUACUGUUUCCCUUCUCUCAACAACACUUUCCAGGCUUAUGUAUUUGGAGCUUUCUUUACAAACCGUUCCCUGCGUCCUCGUUUUCCCAAGCUUGGUAUUUUCGUCUGUGACUUGGGUAUUCAAGUAGGCGAAACCAUGGAAGAGACUUUUGUGCCAUUUCGUGAACUAAGGAAUGAUCUUCAAGGGAGGUUGAUGUGUUACAAGCAAGACUGAAUUGGUGGAUUCAAAUCAGGCUUCAGGACAUAAUUCUAUAAUACAUGGAACUGCCAGCAUUUGAAAGUUUCUGUGGAAUACACUCAAUCAUAGGAGGUCAGCUUUUGCUGAUUCUUGGAGUUGCAGAGCCAACUGUGAUUAUGUAUACGUUUGUGUUUGAUUUUGCUAGAGAUUGACUGGAUUUGGGAUCCAAGCUCUUUUUUAGCAUGGACUGGAUGCGUAUGUGUAUGGACAGCUGCAUUGUUGUUCCUCCUGGCUAUCUUAGGAGCUUGUUCCAUAAUAAACAGGUUCACUCGUCUUGCAGGGGAGUUAUUUGGGCUUCUUAUUGCAAUUCUCUUCAUGUAGGAAGCAAUCAAAGGACUUGUUGAUGAAUUUCGUAUACCUCAAAGAGAAAACCCAAAAUCAAUUCAGUUUCAACCUUCAUGGAGAUUUGCAAAUGGGAUGUUUGCUUUGGUUCUGUCAUUUGGUCUUCUGCUAACUUCAUUAAGAAGUAGAAAAGAAAGAUCUUGGCGGUAUGUAUCUGGGUCACUAAGAGGUGUUCCUUUGAUGGUUUUGGUCUGGACAGCUGUUUCCUAUAUACCAGCUGGAACUGUUCCAAAAGGAAUUCCCAGGCGUCUCUUUAGUCUGAAUCCAUGGUCCCCAGAAGCAUAUGAUGGACUGUCAUUA
Molecule: long non-coding RNA, 1154 nt
Organism: Ziziphus jujuba (common jujube)
Lineage: Eukaryota; Viridiplantae; Streptophyta; Magnoliopsida; Rosales; Rhamnaceae
Exons: 6
Source: RefSeq, a predicted model, not a curated record